This is a long non-coding RNA of Triticum aestivum (bread wheat), 905 nucleotides long. RefSeq lists it as uncharacterized. The record is from RefSeq and is a predicted model, not a curated record. NCBI's taxonomy places the organism in Eukaryota, Viridiplantae, Streptophyta, Magnoliopsida, Poales, Poaceae. The transcript is spliced from 2 exons.
AGAUCUGAUUACCAGUAGCUAGAUAAAGAACCCCGGCAGUACCAUUGUGCCUUGUGGUGGUUAAGUUGCCACAGUUGCAGCUCGUCAAUUUGGACAUGGCCUUGGGGUGGAGUAUAGGUCAGCACCUGACCAUGUUAUGCGAGCACUGUUUCAAGGCUUGGUUCUUGCUCCGCAAAUUGUUGGAGAGGCCGUUUCUAGUGAAGAUCAUGUCAGCCAAGGGCUAUAGAAUUCAACCACUUUUCAAGGGUUCCAUGCCAUGAAACUGUGCAGGUUGCCUUAAGUUUAACCUUAAAUGCUCCAUGAGCCUGGGCCAUCAAGUGCGCCUUCCCCUCUCUUCAACUGAGAGCUCUUCUCCUUGAAAUGUAUCGAUGCAGGGAGGAACACAUUGGACAGUGGACUCUUGUCCUGGGUGAAGUUUCUCAUGGUCAUGUAGCUAUUUGUUACCAGAAUACUUCCCAUUUCUAGGAUGGGUAGGCUCUUCGUUAACUACGACUGAUUAGUGAGUACUUGUUGAUUGACGGGAAUCAUCAGGAACCAUCAUUCUCAUAAAAUUAAUUUUGUUGAACCGACGAGUGAUUUCAAAUAACAAAGAUUUUUCAACGAUGUGAAGAAUUCAACAGGCUGCACCGAUUGAUUGGCAUAGUAACUUCAAGCCCAUCAUUCAUGUUGGAUAGCUUCGGCCUUUCGACUUGCCAGUUCAUUACAGAUUAGUUAGAAAUGCUUUGGAAUUAAUGUACCUGUUGUAUGAGUGUGCCAAUCAAGAAGAGACAGAUGGCCGCCACAGCACUUCAUCUGGGAGGAUUCCUUUUUAUGUUUUUAUUAUUACAGAUCUUGUCACUUAAUAGUCCAGAUCAGUUUGUAGAGUCUGCUCAUGAACACUUCAGAGAAAAAGUUGUUACUUCUCA